RNAcentral lists this ribosomal RNA (596 nucleotides) under Galaxaura rugosa. RNAcentral's name for it is "eukaryotic LSU rRNA". It matches the Rfam family "Eukaryotic large subunit ribosomal RNA", at positions 1284 to 1899 of the family's 3401-position model. The record is from RNAcentral. Lineage: Eukaryota; Rhodophyta; Florideophyceae; Nemaliales; Galaxauraceae.
AACAACUCACCUGCCGAAUGAAUUAGCCCUGAAAAUGGAUGGCGCUGAAGCGGGCAGCCGACACCGCGCCGUUCCGGCGAGACGAUGCCGGAAUGAGUAGGAGGGCGUGGCGGUCAGUGAAGCAGGCGAGGGUGCAAACCCCGCUGAAACGGCCGCUAGUGAAGAUCUUGGUGGUAGUAGCAAAUAUUCAAGCGAGAUCCUUGAAGGGCGAAGCGGGGAAGGGUUCCACGCCAACAUUGAUUGGGCGUGGGUGAGUCGUCCCUAAGCCGAGUGGCAAUUGCUAAGUAGCGGCGAAAGGGAAGCGGGUUAAAAUUCCCGCACACAGAUAUGGAGGCGGCGACGCAAGCAGAGGCGAAUACGCUGGCGAGGGCGCCGGGCAGAGUUGUCUUUUCUGUUUGACCGGCAUCGAGCUGUGUGGAAUCCGCUUAUCGGGAGAAACACGCUCGGGUAGGGGCAGAGCGUCAGGUCUUUUCUGGCGUCCGGCUCGCCCUCGACGGCCCUUGAAAAUUCGUCUGCGACUGCAAAUUUCAUGCUGUGACGUACCGAUAACCGCAUCAGGUCCCCAAGGUGAACAGCCUCUGCUCAAUAUGAACAAU